RNAcentral lists this ribosomal RNA (175 nucleotides) under Aeromonas caviae. RNAcentral's name for it is "partial 23S ribosomal RNA". It matches the Rfam family "Bacterial large subunit ribosomal RNA", at positions 2756 to 2925 of the family's 2925-position model. The record is from RNAcentral. Lineage: Bacteria; Pseudomonadati; Pseudomonadota; Gammaproteobacteria; Aeromonadales; Aeromonadaceae.
CGGAAUCGAUAACCGCUGAAAGCAUCUAAGCGGGAAGCGAGCCCUGAGAUGAGUCAUCCCUGACCCCUUGAGGGUCCUAAAGGGCCGUUGGAGACCACAACGUUGAUAGGUGGGGUGUGUAAGCGUAGCGAUACGUUGAGCUAACCCAUACUAAUUACCCGUGAGGCUUAACCAU